CCUACGGGAGGCAGCAGUAGGGAAUAUUGCUCAAUGGGGGAAACCCUGAAGCAGCAACGCCGCGUGGAGGAUGAAGGUUCUCGGAUUGUAAACUCCUUUUGUUAGAGAAGAUAAUGACGGUACCUAACGAAUAAGCACCGGCUAACUCCGUGCCAGCAGCCGCGGUAAUACGGAGGGUGCAAGCGUUAUUCGGAAUCACUGGGCGUAAAGAGGGCGUAGGCGGGUUAACAAGUCAGAAGUGAAAUCCUAGGGCUUAACCCUAGAACUGCAUUUGAAACUGUGAUUCUAGAGUGUAGGAGGGGUAGGUGGAAUUCUUGGUGUAGCGGUAAAAUGCGUAGAGAUCAAGAGGAAUACUGAUUGCGAAGGCGGCCUACUAGGCCAUAACUGACGCUGAUGCGCGAAAGCGUGGGGAGCAAACAGGAUUAGAUACCCCGGUAGUC
RNAcentral lists this ribosomal RNA (440 nucleotides) under uncultured bacterium. RNAcentral's name for it is "partial 16S ribosomal RNA". It matches the Rfam family "Bacterial small subunit ribosomal RNA", at positions 338 to 795 of the family's 1533-position model. The record is from RNAcentral.